UAUGAUAACUCUUUAAAUGUGAACAAUGCUGAAGAAUUGGAUGUGCAAGUCAGAAAAAGAUGUUUGCAAGACUACUGGAAGAAAGCAAAAGAAAUUUUACACAGAAGAAACUCCAUUGAAAAACAGGAUGAUGAGGACAUUAUUGAGACUGGUAGAACAAUGAAAGCUCUGCUUUCAAAAAUAAAAGACAAGAAACCAAUGAUAGUAAAAGCCUGCUCCUUAAAACGACAUGUCAGAAUCCAGGAAACAGACCAGACUGUAAGUAUCGUGGUUUUCUCAG
This is a long non-coding RNA of Haemorhous mexicanus (house finch), 280 nucleotides long. RefSeq lists it as uncharacterized. Lineage: Eukaryota; Metazoa; Chordata; Aves; Passeriformes; Fringillidae. The transcript is spliced from 3 exons. The record is from RefSeq and is a predicted model, not a curated record.